This is a long non-coding RNA of Brassica napus (rape), 1115 nucleotides long. RefSeq lists it as uncharacterized. The record is from RefSeq and is a predicted model, not a curated record. The transcript has 2 exons. NCBI's taxonomy places the organism in Eukaryota, Viridiplantae, Streptophyta, Magnoliopsida, Brassicales, Brassicaceae.
AAACUUCAUCAUCGUUGUUAGAGUAUCUCUAUCAACACUAUUAAAAUUGAAGGGCUUUUUUUGAAGUCCCCUUGAAAUUUUAAAGUAUUUACGGAUCUUUGCCAUUGGAUCUUUUUUAACAUAUGCUUUGUAUUAUAGAUAUAUUAAAAAAAACAUUUAUUGUUUAAUUUCUUUUUCAGCGUAAUUAACUCAAACGAUGCAACAAACUAUUGAUUUUAAUUUCCUUACCUUUUAACUUCGGCUCCAACUUAUGUUCACGUUUAUGAAGGCUUAAAUUAAGACUGAGGUGAUUAUCCACAUCUAUGGUUUCUAUGUUGUGUGUGAGGCGAAUCAAUCAAGGUCCGUGUAUUCUUUCUGGUAUAUGCUACCUUCGAUGGAGAUCUAAGGUUUUGCAAUGGAGAAUCUGCACAGAUCUGUUUAUCGGUGGUUUUGAGAGUGUUUUCAAUCAUUUCUUAAAGACGACAACUAAGGAUUCUCAAGAUCGUAUUAGGAGUUUGUUAACAAGGAAAAAAGAUCUCCAAGACGGAGUUGUGAAGAAUAAUCUAUGGAGAUUCGAGGUUUCUAAUGGUGGGACAAGAAAAUAUUGCUGUCUUGAAAGAGGAUCUUUGUCAUGCCUUUAAAGGUUUGAGGUCGGAGUCGAUAGCAUAUAGGGAGUUUGAAUGUGGUUGGAAGACUAGGAGGUUGGUCUUUUGGCAUAAGUUUCGAUCUUCUUAAACCAUAGUAUUACCUCUCCGAAGUUCUUUGUUUCCUUUGGUGUCUCUGGUGAAAUCUCUUCUAACCAUAUCAGGAUUCAAAGCAGUAGAUUGGAGAAGAAUUGGUUUCUGAGUAUACAGUUUAGUUGCUCAAUGAUGGUGAUGGGUAUAAUAAAAGAGUGGAGUGUACGACGGUUGACCUUGGUAGCCUCACAAUGUACGACUGUUUUCAUACAACUGAUACGUCUGUAUCCACUGUUUUCAUACAACUGAUACGUCUGUAUCCAAGCAAUAAACAAGGUGCUAUAUAGUUACACAAAAGAGUGUAGUAAUAGAUGUCUCAGUUGGAGGAAUAUACAAUCACGUGAUUGGUUUGAACUGUCAUGGAUGUGGUUUUUACAAGAAGUUGUUGUUCAAACUUUU